UAGGUUAUGCAAGUCGAACGGUCCAAUCCUGAGCUGCAUCUUCGGAUAAGGCUUGGGAUAAGGAAAGUGGCGAACGGGUGAGUAACACGUGGGUAAUCUACCCUCCGGUGGGGAAUAACAUCCCGAAAGGGGUGCUAAUACCGCAUGAUGUCUCAGGAGCGCGAGUUCUUGGGAUGAAAGGUGGCCUCUGUUUCAUGCUGCCGCCGGAGGAGGGGCCCGCAGCCUAUUA
RNAcentral lists this ribosomal RNA (229 nucleotides) under uncultured bacterium. Its description in RNAcentral is "partial 16S ribosomal RNA". It matches the Rfam family "Bacterial small subunit ribosomal RNA", at positions 55 to 243 of the family's 1533-position model. The record is from RNAcentral.